This 418-nucleotide ribosomal RNA is filed under the name uncultured bacterium. RNAcentral describes it as "bacterial SSU rRNA". It matches the Rfam family "Bacterial small subunit ribosomal RNA", at positions 358 to 773 of the family's 1533-position model. The record is from RNAcentral.
GGAAUAUUGGGCAAUGGAUGCAAGUCUGACCCAGCCAUGCCGCGUGCCGGAUGAAGGCCCUCAGGGUUGUAAACGGCUUUUAUCUGGGAAGAAGACCGGGGAUGCGUCCCCGGGUGACGGUACCCGAGUAAUAAGCCCCGGCUAACUCCGUGCCAGGAGCCGCGGUAAUACGGAGGGUGCGAGCGUUGCCCGGAUUUCUUGGGUUUAAAGGGUGCGUAGGUGGCCUGGUAAGUCAGUGGUGAAAUGCGGCCGCUCAACGGUCGAACUGCCAUUGAUACUGCCGGGCUUGAGACAGAUGGAGGCCGCCGGAACGGAUGGUGUAGCGGUGAAAUGCAUAGAUAUCAUCCAGAACACCGAUUGCGAAGGCAGGUGGCUACGCCUGGUCUGACACUGAGGCACGAAAGCAUGGGGAGCAAAC